GCUCCAGUAGCGUAUAUUAAAGUUGUUGCAGUUAAAAAGCUCGUAGUUGGAUUUCUGGUUGAAUGCGCCUGGCCGCGGCGGUUACGUCAGUGAGUGCCGGUGUGCGUUUGCCAUCCUGCUAGAGAACGUUUCUACCUUCACUGGGCCGGACUCGCGAUCUAGCUCGUUUACUUUGAAAAAAUUAGAGUGUUUAAAGCAGG
This 200-nucleotide ribosomal RNA is filed under the name uncultured eukaryote. Its description in RNAcentral is "partial 18S ribosomal RNA". It matches the Rfam family "Eukaryotic small subunit ribosomal RNA", at positions 588 to 784 of the family's 1831-position model. The record is from RNAcentral.